Molecule: ribosomal RNA, 579 nt
Filed under: Naganishia albida
Lineage: Eukaryota; Fungi; Basidiomycota; Tremellomycetes; Filobasidiales; Filobasidiaceae
Description: eukaryotic LSU rRNA
Rfam family: Eukaryotic large subunit ribosomal RNA
Source: RNAcentral
AGCGGAGGAAAAGAAACUAACAAGGAUUCCCCUAGUAACGGCGAGUGAAGCGGGAAGAGCUCAAAUUUGAAAUCUGGUAGCCUUCGGUUGCCCGAGUUGUAAUCUAGAGAAGUGUUUUCCGUGCCGGCCCAUGUACAAGUCCCUUGGAACAGGGCGUCAUAGAGGGUGAGAAUCCCGUCCUUGACAUGGACCCCCGGUGCUUUGUGAUACACUUUCAACGAGUCGAGUUGUUUGGGAAUGCAGCUCAAAAUGGGUGGUGAAUUCCAUCUAAAGCUAAAUAUUGGCGAGAGACCGAUAGCGAACAAGUACCGUGAGGGAAAGAUGAAAAGCACUUUGGAAAGAGAGUUAAACAGUACGUGAAAUUGUUGAAAGGGAAACGAUUGAAGUCAGUCAUGCUCUUGGGACUUACCUCCCUUGAGUGGGGUCAACAUCAGUUUUGAUCGAUGGAUAAAGGCACGGGGAAGGUAGCACUCUCGGGUGAACUUAUAGCCUCGCGUCAUAUACAUUGAUUGGGACUGAGGAACGCAGCAUGCCUUAUGGCCGGGAUUCGUCCACGUACAUGCUUAGGAUGUUGACUUA